This 66-nucleotide transfer RNA is filed under the name Streptomyces phage Belfort. RNAcentral describes it as "tRNA-OTHER". The record is from RNAcentral. RNAcentral also lists the same sequence under 1 other name. Lineage: Duplodnaviria; Heunggongvirae; Uroviricota; Caudoviricetes; Stanwilliamsviridae.
UGCGCUAUAGUGAAAAUGGCAAACACACUCGUAAGAGGGGUUCCGGUUCGAAUCCGGAUAGCGUAC